UGCAGCAACGCCGCGUGAGGGACGAAGGCCUUCGGGUUGUAAACCUCUUUUAGUAGGGAAGAAGCGACUGGGUUUUCCUGGGAGUGACGGUACCUGCAGAAAAAGCACCGGCUAACUACGUGCCAGCAGCCGCGGUAAUACGUAGGGUGCAAGCGUUGUCCGGAAUUAUUGGGCGUAAAGAGCUCGUAGGCGGUUUGUCGCGUCUGCUGUGAAAACCCGAGGCUCAACCUCGGGCCUGCAGUGGGUACGGGCAGACUAGAGUGCGGUAGGGGAGAUUGGAAUUCCUGGUGUAGCGGUGGAAUGCGCAGAUAUCAGGAGGAACACCAAUGGCGAAGGCAGAUCUCUGGGCCGUAACUGACGCUGAGGAGCGAAAGCAUGGGGAGCGAACAGGAUUAGAUACCCUGGUAGUCCAUGCCGUAAACGUUGGGAACUAGAUGUGGGGACCAUUCCACGGUCUCCGUGUCGCAGCUAACGCAUUAAGUUCCCCGCCUGGGGAGUACGGCCGCAAGGCUAAAACUCAAAGGAAUUGACGGGGGCCCGCACAAGCGGCGGAGCAUGCGGAUUAAUUCGAUGCAACGCGAAGAACCUUACCAAGGCUUGACAUAUACCGGAAACGGCUGGAAACAGUCGCCCCGCAAGGUUGGUAUACAGGUGGUGCAUGGUUGUCGUCAGCUCGUGUCGUGAGAUGUUGGGUUAAGUCCCGCAACGAGCGCAACCCUCGUCCUAUGUUGCCAGCACGUAAUGGUGGGAACUCAUGGGAUACUGCCGGGGUCAACUCGGAGGAAGGUGGGGAUGACGUCAAAUCAUCAUGCCCCUUAUGUCUUGGGCUUCACGCAUGCUACAAUGGCCGGUACAAAGGGCUGCGAUACCGCAAGGUGGAGCGAAUCCCAAAAAGCCGGUCUCAGUUCGGAUUGAGGUCUGCAACUCGACCUCAUGAAGUCGGAGUCGCUAGUAAUCGCAGAUCAGCAACGCUGCGGUGAAUACGUUCCCGGGCCUUGUACACACCGCCAUCCAUAU
RNAcentral lists this ribosomal RNA (1017 nucleotides) under uncultured Cryobacterium sp. RNAcentral's name for it is "bacterial SSU rRNA". It matches the Rfam family "Bacterial small subunit ribosomal RNA", at positions 387 to 1402 of the family's 1533-position model. Lineage: Bacteria; Bacillati; Actinomycetota; Actinomycetes; Micrococcales; Microbacteriaceae. The record is from RNAcentral.